Molecule: long non-coding RNA, 452 nt
Filed under: Coturnix japonica (Japanese quail)
Lineage: Eukaryota; Metazoa; Chordata; Aves; Galliformes; Phasianidae
Description: lncRNA (ENSCJPG00005001936.1)
Source: RNAcentral
CCCAAGAGCUGCCAUUGGAGUUAGGAGAGCACACGCUCAAAGCAUUGAGUGUUUUUGUUGUGCAUUGCUGAAGUACAAAGGAAUAAUCUUUGGGCCUUAUGUCUCCUUGUGCCAUGGGCAGGCCAGCGUGCCUUGAGAGAUUGUGCAGAACACUUCAUUACAACAAAAAAAUGAGGUAUUUUCACAGCAUCGUUCCAGCAGCAGGAUUGCAGGACUGCAUCCUCCCAGAAGAAAGGCAGUGGUUUGAUCAGACUCCAGUGAAGACCAUGAGCAUCCAAGCAUUGAGGGCCUGCUCGGCUUCCCUGGCAUAGCUUUAAAAUCAAAUUCAGCCGGUCAGGCCAAGUGUCUGAUCAAGAGAUGUUCUGUAGCACUUUCUUUUAUCUCCUUCCCAUAAGAGACAGCUGCAAAGCCACUAUUUAAAGUCAAUAAAAGAAUACAGUUGCUUGUGAUCA